UACAGAGGGUGCGAGCGUUAAUCGGAAUUACUGGGCGUAAAGCGUGCGUAGACGGUUAUUUAAGUCGGAUGUGAAAGCCCCGGGCUCAACCUGGGAAUUGCAUUCGAGACUGAAUAGCUAGGGUACGGUAGAGGGAAGUGGAAUUUCCGGUGUAGCGGUGAAAUGCGUAGAUAUCGGAAGGAACAUCAGUGGCGAAGGCGGCAUCCUGGACCGGCAUUGACGCUGAGGCGCGAAAGCCAGGGGAGCAAACGGG
RNAcentral lists this ribosomal RNA (253 nucleotides) under uncultured bacterium. Its description in RNAcentral is "partial 16S ribosomal RNA". It matches the Rfam family "Bacterial small subunit ribosomal RNA", at positions 524 to 776 of the family's 1533-position model. The record is from RNAcentral.